RNAcentral lists this ribosomal RNA (1887 nucleotides) under human gut metagenome. RNAcentral describes it as "bacterial LSU rRNA". It matches the Rfam family "Bacterial large subunit ribosomal RNA", at positions 64 to 1976 of the family's 2925-position model. The record is from RNAcentral.
AUCUGCGAAAAGCGCCGGCGAGGUGAUAUGAACCCUUGACCCGGCGAUGUCCGAAUGGGGAAACCCGGUGCACUACGGUGCAUCAUCGUUUGAUGAAUACAUAGUCAAACGAGGCGAACCGGGGGAACUGAAACAUCUAAGUACCCCGAGGAAAAGAAAUCAACCGAGAUUCCCCCAGUAGCGGCGAGCGAACGGGGAGGAGCCCAGAGCCUGAAUCAGCUUGUGUGUUAGUGGAACGGUCUGGAAAGUCCGACGGUACAGGGUGAUAGUCCCGUACACCAAAAUGCACAGGUUGUGAACUCGAAGAGUAGGGCGGGACACGUGGUAUCCUGUCUGAAUAUGGGGGGACCAUCCUCCAAGGCUAAAUACUCCUGACUGACCGAUAGUGAACCAGUACCGUGAGGGAAAGGCGAAAAGAACCCCGGCGAGGGGAGUGAAAAAGAACCUGAAACCGUGUACGUACAAGCAGUGGGAGCACCUUCGGGUGUGACUGCGUACCUUUUGUAUAAUGGGUCAGCGACUUAUAUUCUGUAGCAAGGUUAACCGUAUAGGGGAGCCGAAGGGAAACCGAGUCUUAACUGGGCGUUAAGUUGCAGGGUAUAGACCCGAAACCCGGUGAUCUAGCCAUGGGCAGGUUGAAGGUUGGGUAACACUAACUGGAGGACCGAACCGACUAAUGUUGAAAAAUUAGCGGAUGACCUGUGGCUGGGGGUGAAAGGCCAAUCAAACCGGGAGAUAGCUGGUUCUCCCCGAAAGCUAUUUAGGUAGCGCCUCGUGAAUUCAUCUCCGGGGGUAGAGCACUGUUUCGGCUAGGGGGCCAUCCCGGCUUACCAACCCGAUGCAAACUGCGAAUACCGGAGAAUGUUAUCACGGGAGACACACGGCGGGUGCUAACGUCCGUCGUGAAGAGGGAAACAACCCAGACCGCCAGCUAAGGUCCCAAAGUCAUGGUUAAGUGGGAAACGAUGUGGGAAGGCCCAGACAGCCAGGAUGUUGGCUUAGAAGCAGCCAUCAUUUAAAGAAAGCGUAAUAGCUCACUGGUCGAGUCGGCCUGCGCGGAAGAUGUAACGGGGCUAAACCAUGCACCGAAGCUGCGGCAGCGACACUAUGUGUUGUUGGGUAGGGGAGCGUUCUGUAAGCCGUUGAAGGUGUGCUGUGAGGCAUGCUGGAGGUAUCAGAAGUGCGAAUGCUGACAUAAGUAACGAUAAAGCGGGUGAAAAGCCCGCUCGCCGGAAGACCAAGGGUUCCUGUCCAACGUUAAUCGGGGCAGGGUGAGUCGACCCCUAAGGCGAGGCCGAAAGGCGUAGUCGAUGGGAAACAGGUUAAUAUUCCUGUACUUGGUGUUACUGCGAAGGGGGGACGGAGAAGGCUAUGUCGGCCGGGCGACGGUUGUCCCGGUUUAAGCGUGUAGGUGUGUGCUCCAGGCAAAUCCGGUGCACUUUAACACUGAGGCGUGAUGACGAGGCACUACGGUGCUGAAGUGACAAAUGCCCUGCUUCCAGGAAAAGCCUCUAAGCAUCAGGUAACAUCAAAUCGUACCCCAAACCGACACAGGUGGUCAGGUAGAGAAUACCAAGGCGCUUGAGAGAACUCGGGUGAAGGAACUAGGCAAAAUGGUGCCGUAACUUCGGGAGAAGGCACGCUGAUAUGUAGGUGAAGUGAUUUACUCAUGGAGCUGAAAUCAGUCGAAGAUACCAGCUGGCUGCAACUGUUUAUUAAAAACACAGCACUGUGCAAACACGAAAGUGGACGUAUACGGUGUGACGCCUGCCCGGUGCCGGAAGGUUAAUUGAUGGGGUUAUCCCUCGGGAGAAGCUCUUGAUCGAAGCCCCGGUAAACGGCGGCCGUAACUAUAACGGUCCUAAGGUAGCGAAAUUCCUUGUCGGG